CAAGAGUUCUAGGGUCGCUGGCGAGAACACGCGGCGGCCCCACCUCUCCAUCCCCUGUUUAUUCACCGUGCCCGACCCGUGAAAAGGUCGGCACAACCCUUUACUGCGGCAAUGCAGGAAGUGUAGCCGGUUUCGCGCCGCUACCAAAGAAGCAAAACAUAAA
RNAcentral lists this unclassified non-coding RNA (163 nucleotides) under uncultured fungus. Its description in RNAcentral is "sequence contains ITS1". The record is from RNAcentral. Lineage: Eukaryota; Fungi.